RNAcentral lists this ribosomal RNA (400 nucleotides) under Salpingoeca fusiformis. RNAcentral describes it as "partial small subunit ribosomal RNA". It matches the Rfam family "Eukaryotic small subunit ribosomal RNA", at positions 30 to 432 of the family's 1831-position model. Lineage: Eukaryota; Choanoflagellata; Craspedida; Salpingoecidae. The record is from RNAcentral.
GCUUGUCUCAAAGAUUAAGCCAUGCAUGUCUAAGUAUAAACGAUUUUAUACGUGAAACUGCGAAUGGCUCAUUAUAUCAGUUAUAGUUUAUUUGAUGGUCCUUACUAUUUGGAUAACCGUAGUAAUUCUAGAGCUAAUACAUGCAUCAAGCCCUGACUUCGGAAGGGGUGUAUUUAUUAGAUGGAAACCAAUGCGGGGCAACCCGGAAUAUGGUGAUUCAUAAUAACUUUUGCGGAUCGCAUGGCCUUGAGCCGGCGACGAAUCAUUCAAAUUUCUGCCCUAUCAACUUUCGAUGGUACGGUAUUGGCCUACCAUGGUUACCACGGGUAACGGGGAAUUAGGGUUCGGUUCCGGAGAGGGGGCCUGAGAAAUGGCCACCACAUCCAAGGAAGGCAGCAGG